AGAGUUUCUUCCUAUCUGUGUUCCUGAGACUGAAGUCACACUUCUCACACAUUUACUUUCCUUUAUUGAAAGACUCACACAGAAACAGGCAUUUCUGUUUGCUACAAUGGCUUUUGGGCUGCUCCUGUUCAUUUCUCUUCUUACUUACAACACAGGGUUCAGUGCUGAGAUCUCUGUGUUUGUUCAGACGGGAGAUUCUGUUCAACUGGAUAUACAGACACAGGAACUACCAGAGUUUGUUCUUUUAUCCUGGACAAAUAAAUUAGACAAUAUAGUUAUGUAUUUACGUGGAACUAAAGAAGUACAACUUCACCCUUCCUACAAGGACAGAGUGUAUUUCAAUGAUGAAACCUUCUCUCUCACACUGAAGAACAUGCAGAAGACAGACAGUGGACUCUAUACAGCAAAGACAAGUGGAUUUUCAAACAAAUAUAUUGCUGCAUACAGCCUAUCUGUUAUAGAUGCAGUGGAAGCUCCGGUUCUGACUGUAAACUCAAACUGGUCCAGCUCUGACCCCUGUAGCUUUACAUGUAAAGGAAGUAACAUUACUGUCAGCUCCAUCUAUAAUAGUAGCAGCUGUUCUCCAGAGGAAGUGACAUCAUCUGAUAACUACACUCUAACACUGAACUGUAGUGGCGACUACAUCACGUGUAACCAUAGCAACCCAGUGAGCUGGAAGACUGAAAUAAAGAAGGUUAAUGAACUCUGCACUGUUGAUCCAGAAAUGCCAGAAGCUAGAAGAAAUUCAAUGAAUUCCUCAUGGCUUAUCCUCUUUAUUUGCCUAUUGACAACGAGUUUGUUGGCUUCAGUGAUCAGCUGGUGUCUCUACAAGAGAAAAAAAGAUCAUUCCUACACCCCUGACCAGCAGAAUGAACCUACGGUCUAUGAAAAAGUUGGCGAAAAUAUUAAUCCACAAAGGCCACUGGAGAUGUUGGAGAAAUCAAAAAAUCCUUCCACAGUUUAUGAUACUUUAAGAGAACAUGGAACUCCUGAAGUUACACUGGAAACCAACCAGACUUCACGCAAUCAUGACACAGUGAAUCAGAGUGCAACACUAACAGAGAAGAGCCAACCAAAUGCACCAGUCACUAUCUACUCUACCAUUGAGAAGCAAACAAAAUCUGAAACUGAUCACACAAUUUAUGCUGCAGUCAGUAAACAGCCAGCUGGAGAUGAAUCUGUACAUCCAAAACUGGUAUUUGGUAAUACUUCAGUCAUUACUAAUGGGUUACUAUCACUUUCACUUUAGAAUUAAUUAUACAUUAUGCAUUAUUCUCAUUAAUUACGAACAUGUAUAUACUAGUUCUUAGUAGUUCUCUGGGAGGAAUGAAAAAACAGUAGUUACUGAUUAGUUAAUAGUGAACUACCACCUUCAACUGAGCACUAUUACUUACUAAUUAAUUCAUCAGAGUUUAUUGUUAGUUAAUAGUAGUUACUAUAGUGUUAAUAAUGCAUUACUCAUUUGUUCCUGUGUAGUUAUUCAUUAAUGAAGGAUCAGUAUUCUAAAGUGUUACCAAAUAUUUUUAGAUAGAAUCUCGCAUGUAAUGUCACAGGACUUGCCAAUUUCCUGUUUUUGUUAACUAAACAAGCUUAACACUUCUGCUUUCAAAUCUGACUCGUGAUUAGACUACAUGAUUAUAAGUAGAUUUACUGUAAUCAUUUUUCAGUCUUGCCACAGAUACUCAUCACAGACAUACUGUAAGUUUGAAUAUAACACUGGAUAUUCCUUUGGAAAGUACCAGAUGGAAAUAAGAAACAUUUUCAUCAGAAUUUUUAGAGCAAAAAGUUCAUAUAGAAUAUGUUCUAUGCUUGAACACUGAAAAUUGUGGUCUUGAAAAUUGAUAUUAUGUUAAACAUCAUGUACCCAGCAGAAUGAACAAACAGUAUAUGCAGAAGUUGAUGAGAACAUCAAGCCACAAAAGUCACUGGAGAUGUUGGAGAAAUCAGAGAAUCCUCAAACUGUUUAUGAUACUACAGGAGAGUCAGAACAACCUGAUGUUACCAUGGAAACCAACCAGACCUCACCCAAUCAUGAC
Molecule: RNA transcript, 2036 nt
Organism: Megalobrama amblycephala (Wuchang bream)
Lineage: Eukaryota; Metazoa; Chordata; Actinopteri; Cypriniformes; Xenocyprididae
Gene name: SLAM family member 9-like
Exons: 8
Source: RefSeq, a predicted model, not a curated record